This 253-nucleotide ribosomal RNA is filed under the name uncultured bacterium. Its description in RNAcentral is "partial 16S ribosomal RNA". It matches the Rfam family "Bacterial small subunit ribosomal RNA", at positions 524 to 776 of the family's 1533-position model. The record is from RNAcentral.
UACGGAGGGUGCAAGCGUUGUUCGGAAUUAUUGGGCGUAAAGGGGAGGUAGGUUGUCUUAUUUGUCUAAGGUGAAAUCCCUGGGCUUAACCCAGGACGUGCCUUAGAAACGGUAAGACUAGAGUCCCAGAGAGGGUUGCGGAAUUCCCGGUGUAGCGGUGAAAUGCGUAGAGAUCGGGAGGAACACCAGAAGCGAAGGCGGCGACCUGGACGGGUACUGACACUAAACUCCGAAAGCGUGGGGAGCAAACAGG